This 368-nucleotide ribosomal RNA is filed under the name uncultured eukaryote. RNAcentral's name for it is "partial 18S ribosomal RNA". It matches the Rfam family "Eukaryotic small subunit ribosomal RNA", at positions 592 to 976 of the family's 1831-position model. The record is from RNAcentral.
CAAUAGCGUAUAUUAAAGUUGUUGCUGUUAAAAAGCUCGUAGUUGAACUUCUAUAUAUGCCCGGUUCUGGCUUCGGUCAAGCCGUGGUGUAUAUAUUCGCUUGCAAACCUAGUCCGGCCUUCACUGGUCGACUAGGGGAGUAGGCUUUUUACUGUGAAAAAAUUAGAGUGUUUCAAGCAAGCAAUGGCCUGAAUACAUUAGCAUGGAAUAAUGGAAUAGGACUUUUGUCCAUUUGGUUGGUUAUUGGACAUGAGUAAUGAUUAACAGGGACAGUUGGGGGCAUUAGUACUUAAUUGUCAGAGGUGAAAUUCUUGGAUUUAUUAAAGACUAACUUAUGCGAAAGCAUUUGCCAAGGAUGUUUUCAUUGA